GCUGGGUGUGGUGGCGCACGCCUGUAAUCCCAGCUACUUGGGGGCUGAGGCAGGAGAAUCACCUGAACCCAGGAGGCAGAGGUUGCAGUCAGCCAAGAUCUCACAACUGCACUCUAGCCUGGGUGACAGAGUGAGACUCCGCCUCAA
RNAcentral lists this non-coding RNA (147 nucleotides) under Nomascus leucogenys (northern white-cheeked gibbon). The record is from Rfam by way of RNAcentral. Lineage: Eukaryota; Metazoa; Chordata; Mammalia; Primates; Hylobatidae.